This is a non-coding RNA of Pelobates cultripes (western spadefoot toad), 301 nucleotides long. The record is from the annotation of a GenBank genome assembly. Lineage: Eukaryota; Metazoa; Chordata; Amphibia; Anura; Pelobatidae.
AACCGGACAAGCCGUCGGGACUACAAGAGAAAAAGCAGCCACAAGGAUUUUCCUACAUGGUCCUUAGGAAUAAGUACCAUUUCUUUUACAUUGUGAGAGUUCCUAUUUAGGGGGGGAUUUUUUUGUUAUACUGGGGCAAUAAAUGUUAUAGAGUUACACUAUAUCUCUUUCUUUUUUUGCCUUAGGAAUUUCCAAGUACUCCUCUGGGUUUCCAUUUACUAUUACAGAUUUUGGACUCUCCCCCAUAGGAUCCUACAUGACAAUCCAAUAGAUUUUGGACUUUUCAGAGACAUAUGUUUAU